UGCAAGUCGAGCGGCAGCGCGGGCAACCUGGCGGCGAGCGGCGAACGGGUGAGUAAUGCAUCGGAACAUGUCCAUGGAUGGGGGAUAGCCCGGCGAAAGCCGGAUUAAUACCGCAUGAGCCCGAGAGGGGAAAGUGGGGGACCGCAAGGCCUCACGUCGAUGGGUUGGCCGAUGCCCGAUUAGCUAGUUGGUGAGGUAAUGGCUCACCAAGGCGAUGAUCGGUAGCUGGUCUGAGAGGAUGAUCAGCCACACUGGGACUGAGACACGGCCCAGACUCCUACGGGAGGCAGCAGUGGGGAAUUUUGGACAAUGGGGGCAACCCUGAUCCAGCCAUUCCGCGUGAGUGAAGAAGGCCUUCGGGUUGUAAAGCUCUUUUGUCCGGAGCGAAAAGGUUACGGUGAAUAUCCGUGACUAGUGACGGUACCGGAAGAAUAAGCACCGGCUAACUACGUGCCAGCAGCCGCGGUAAUACGUAGGGUGCGAGCGUUAAUCGGAAUUACUGGGCGUAAAGCGUGCGCAGGCGGUUUUGUAAGCCAGAUGUGAAAUCCCCGGGCUCAACCUGGGAAUGGCAUUUGGGACUGCAAGGCUUGAGUGCGGCAGAGGAGACUGGAAUUCCUGGUGUAGCAGUGAAAUGCGUAGAUAUCAGGAGGAAUACCGAUGGCGAAGGCAGGUCUCUGGGCUGACACUGACGCUCAUGCAC
This 700-nucleotide ribosomal RNA is filed under the name uncultured bacterium. RNAcentral's name for it is "bacterial SSU rRNA". It matches the Rfam family "Bacterial small subunit ribosomal RNA", at positions 56 to 754 of the family's 1533-position model. The record is from RNAcentral.